Carassius auratus (goldfish) is the source of this 857-nucleotide long non-coding RNA. RefSeq lists it as uncharacterized. NCBI's taxonomy places the organism in Eukaryota, Metazoa, Chordata, Actinopteri, Cypriniformes, Cyprinidae. The record is from RefSeq and is a predicted model, not a curated record. The transcript has 3 exons.
GGGAGGGUCUGAAAAUCAGUCAGAAUCUGGUGUGCACGCUGGAAUGGCACUCAGAGAUCAUAAAAUGUAAUGACAAAAAGCAUGGCUAAGAGCUAAAACUAAAAGUAGAAGACUGUGAAAGUACAAUUGAUCAAUAUAAAGGAUCGUCACUCCCACUGAAUCCUGCCCCCCACCCCUUCCCCAGAUGACUAUAGAGAUCCAAUCUUUCAUUGUAAAAAAAGAAAGCCAUCUAAGAUGGUUGUCUAAUGAUACAGGUUUAGCCAAUAGUGACUCAGAAUCUAUUGCAGUUACAAACAGGAGUAUACUUCCAUCUGUUCUUCGGCACUUUACUUUUUCCUCAAGAACAUGGUAAGCCAAGACUUAUUAAACUGCCACCCUCACAGGUGUUGUGCUGAGUUGAACUUACAGAGCUUUUCACAUCACAGUGAUUAUUUGAAAUGGAAAGAAAAAAAAGAUUAUGAUGAGACAGAGUGAAAGGGAUGGGGACAGAAGAUGAGUACACAAGAGUGAGAGAAUACAACAUGAACACAACUGGCUUUGCCAACUUUCUUUUAUCAGAACAGAGAUUGAUUAUAAGUAUUUUAGAAACUUACUGUAUGUGUUGUGAAGGUAAAAGCUUCUGUUUUCAUUACAUGGAGGUAUGUGGUAUUAUGUAGAGAAAACCAGAAUAAUCCCUACUAUGGGAGGUUUAUUUCUUAGCAUUUUUGUGCCAGUUUAUUUUAUAUUUCAUUAGGUGUUACAAUGGUAACUACAAUUUUAAGAAAUGUUCUUUGUGUUAUGAUAAUACCUGUAGAAAUCCACACGAUGAAUCAGAUUUCACCACCAAGUGUCCUGUCUAUAAACUGAUAUUUUUAAAA